CAGCAGCCGCGGUAAAACGAAGGGGGCUAGCGUUGCUCGGAAUGACUGGGCGUAAAGGGCGCGUAGGCGGAUAGCACAGUCAGAUGUGAAAUUCCCGGGCUUAACCUGGGGGCUGCAUUUGAUACGUGUUGUCUAGAGUGAGGAAGAGGGUUGUGGAAUUCCCAGUGUAGAGGUGAAAUUCGUAGAUAUUGGGAAGAACACCGGUGGCGAAGGCGGCAACCUGGUCCUUGACUGACGCUGAGGCGCGAAAGCGUGGGGAGCAAACAGGAUUAGAUACCCCGGUAGUCCCUGUCUCUUAUAC
This 301-nucleotide ribosomal RNA is filed under the name uncultured bacterium. RNAcentral describes it as "partial 16S ribosomal RNA". It matches the Rfam family "Bacterial small subunit ribosomal RNA", at positions 509 to 807 of the family's 1533-position model. The record is from RNAcentral.